Molecule: long non-coding RNA, 507 nt
Organism: Populus nigra (black poplar)
Lineage: Eukaryota; Viridiplantae; Streptophyta; Magnoliopsida; Malpighiales; Salicaceae
Exons: 2
Source: RefSeq, a predicted model, not a curated record
AUUAUCCUCGAUUCAAGCUUGGCAUAAUCUCAGGAGCAAUACACUGGCUUUAGCUGCCUGUGAAGAGGAUGCUCCAAACAAAUGAGCCAGGCCUAUUUCCUCAGAAGCUUGUGAGUUGUGACCCAAGCUGUCGACCAGGGCUAGCCAACCUGACAAAACACAGACUGCACCCUGAUUUAAUUUUCAGAAGAAAUGAGUCAAGCCCGUGAGCUCAAAGUUGAUUGAGAAUUAAUGAGGCUGAAGUUUAAGCAUCAAAUCUAAUAAUAGCCUCCAAGAGGCUGUGAUGGGCUUUUCACUGCCAAUGCCGAACAGCAGCUUUCCCCACCUCUUUGGCUCGUAUUUUUUCUUCUUUGAUAGAUACCUGUAUCAGAGCAGAGGAACCUGCCAAUGAAGUCUACUGCAGGGCAAAAUUUGGCAGUAGAAAGAUAAUGUAAAGUUGGUACUUACUGAGUUUCGCAAACAGGCAGGUUGUGGUACUAAACAGUACACCAGGACAGUGCUUGUCUA